This 592-nucleotide ribosomal RNA is filed under the name uncultured bacterium. RNAcentral's name for it is "bacterial SSU rRNA". It matches the Rfam family "Bacterial small subunit ribosomal RNA", at positions 87 to 675 of the family's 1533-position model. The record is from RNAcentral.
GGCGGCGAGUGGCGGACGGGUGAGUAAUGCUUGGGAAUCUGCCCAGUAGUGGGGGACAACCCGGGGAAACCCGGGCUAAUACCGCAUACGUCCUACGGGAGAAAGCGGGGGAUCUUCGGACCUCGCGCUAUUGGAUGAGCCCAAGUCGGAUUAGCUAGUUGGUAGGGUAACGGCCUACCAAGGCGACGAUCCGUAGCUGGUCUGAGAGGACGAUCAGCCACACCGGAACUGAGACACGGUCCGGACUCCUACGGGAGGCAGCAGUGGGGAAUAUUGGACAAUGGGCGCAAGCCUGAUCCAGCAAUGCCGCGUGUGUGAAGAAGGCCUGCGGGUUGUAAAGCACUUUCAGCAGGGAAGAACAGCGUGGGGCUAAUAUCCCCGCGUCCUGACGUCACCUGCAGAAGAAGCACCGGCUAACUCCGUGCCAGCAGCCGCGGUAAUACGGAGGGUGCGAGCGUUAAUCGGAAUUACUGGGCGUAAAGCGCACGUAGGCGGCUUGGUAAGUCGAAUGUGAAAGCCCCGGGCUUAACCUGGGAACUGCAUCCGAAACUGCCUGGCUGGAGUAAGGGAGAGGGAAGCGGAAUUUCCGGUG